This 564-nucleotide ribosomal RNA is filed under the name Triticum aestivum (bread wheat). RNAcentral's name for it is "partial small subunit ribosomal RNA". The record is from RNAcentral. Lineage: Eukaryota; Viridiplantae; Streptophyta; Magnoliopsida; Poales; Poaceae.
AUGCUCUACAAAAUCCACUCCCAUGCCCAAAUCCAAGCCCUGCAGGCCCGCUCCGAUGAGCUGGGCCACUCCAAUGACAUGCAGGUGAAUCUUGUCUCUCUGGAGUCGGUGCGCAUAGCGCGCGAGUCGUAUGCACUCCUCUGCCCGCUGAUCAUGGAGUCGAGGUCCUGGGCAUGCCCGGAGCUGGAUUCCCUCUCGGUCGUGGCAGGCUUGUCGCUGGAAAUCCAAAAGCUCGAGGAUGAUGUGUUACCCCAGCUCAUGGUUCUGGAGGCCAAGCUGGAACGGGGCGCCCUGGAAGCCCUCCUACUCAUGAAGAACUCAGCAAUUAAGCUCUUACAUCUGAGUAAGUGCUUUAAGGAAGCCUUGGGCUUAGUGCUUGACGAGGAGGAUCUGGUCUCAGCCCGAGUCGAAGAGCUGAGCAUAGUGCUAAAGGAUAUUGCUGUUCAUGUACUCGAAUAUAAUUGCAACAUUGCCUGGAUUCAGGUGCGUCUCCCGUGGCUGGUCCAGCGGGUCACCGAUGUGUUGGAGACCCCGGUUCGUUUCCGUGAUUCUAAUGAGUACUGA